UUCUCCUAUGGGGCUUCUUCCAGAUUCAACGAGGGACGAACCUUUGAGACACCCUCUCCUCUUCGGUAUCAAGAGGAAGAGUUUUGUGUUCACCAAAACAGUACUUGGAUCUCGUUCAUUCUGGAGAAAUUUCAGAUUAGGGUUUAUCUGUUUGGGAGAUUGGCAAUUUAUCCUUGCUCCGACUGUUGAUUUACAGAAGCAACGUUUCCAAUCAGAUUUGGACAAGUUGUAGAGGACUCUGAUUCGAGACCGUAUCUCGACGGGUAUCUUGAUUCCCGGAUUGGACCAUUUUAUCGGAGA
Molecule: long non-coding RNA, 300 nt
Organism: Zingiber officinale
Lineage: Eukaryota; Viridiplantae; Streptophyta; Magnoliopsida; Zingiberales; Zingiberaceae
Exons: 3
Source: RefSeq, a predicted model, not a curated record